ACACUGCUGAGGAGUCCCAUAAUAGAAAGAAACGGCCGUCUAGUAU
This 46-nucleotide non-coding RNA is filed under the name Schistosoma mansoni. Lineage: Eukaryota; Metazoa; Platyhelminthes; Trematoda; Strigeidida; Schistosomatidae. The record is from RNAcentral.